Non-coding RNA from Podarcis lilfordi (Lilford's wall lizard), 68 nucleotides. The record is from the annotation of a GenBank genome assembly. Lineage: Eukaryota; Metazoa; Chordata; Lepidosauria; Squamata; Lacertidae.
CCAUAGCUUAGUGGUAGAGCAUCUUCUUUGCAUGCAGAAGGUCCCAGGUUCAAACCCCAGCAACUCGA